RNAcentral lists this unclassified non-coding RNA (354 nucleotides) under soil metagenome. Its description in RNAcentral is "partial contains 5.8S ribosomal RNA, internal transcribed spacer 2, and large subunit ribosomal RNA". The stretch from base 1 to 120 matches the Rfam family "5.8S ribosomal RNA", at positions 35 to 154 of the family's 154-position model. The record is from RNAcentral.
GAUGAAGAACGUAGCGAAAUGCGAUAAGUAAUGUGAAUUGCAGAAUUCAGUGAAUCAUCGAAUCUUUGAACGCACAUUGCGCCUCCUGGUAUUCCGGGAGGCAUGCCUGUUCGAGCGUCAUUAAAAUCACUCAAGCUUAGGUUUACCUAUUGCUUGGUCUUGGAGAUGGAAGCCAAUUCAUUGGAAUCCUCUUCGAAAUCCAAUGGCGAAGACCCUUGCUCUCCCAAGUGUAGUAAUAACUUAUGUCACUGAAGGAAGCGAGAAAUCUUCCGCCGUAACCCCCAUAUUUUCUAUGAUUGACCUCGGAUCAGGUAGGGAUACCCGCUGAACUUAAGCAUAUCAAUAAGCGGAGGA